Molecule: ribosomal RNA, 156 nt
Organism: Lupinus angustifolius (narrow-leaved blue lupine)
Lineage: Eukaryota; Viridiplantae; Streptophyta; Magnoliopsida; Fabales; Fabaceae
Rfam family: 5.8S ribosomal RNA
About the family: 5.8S ribosomal RNA (5.8S rRNA) is a component of the large subunit of the eukaryotic ribosome. It is transcribed by RNA polymerase I as part of the 45S precursor that also contains 18S and 28S rRNA. Functionally, it is thought that 5.8S rRNA may be involved in ribosome translocation.
Source: Rfam
GACUCUCGGCAACGGAUAUCUCGGCUCUUGCAUCAAUGAAGAACCUAGAGAAAUGCGAUACUUGGUGUGAAUUGCGGUAUCCUAUGAACCAUCGAGUCUUUGAAUGCAAGUUGCCCCCGAUGCCAUUAGGCCGAGGGCACGCCUGCCUGGGUUUUU